Long non-coding RNA from Thalassophryne amazonica, 339 nucleotides. RefSeq lists it as uncharacterized. Lineage: Eukaryota; Metazoa; Chordata; Actinopteri; Batrachoidiformes; Batrachoididae. The record is from RefSeq and is a predicted model, not a curated record. The transcript has 3 exons.
AGAGAAGGUCAACAACCUCACAAAAGCAAAUGCUAAACUUUUGGCAAGAAAUAAGCGGCUGCAUUUGGCCCUUGAGAAUCUGAGAAACUUGCCUGAUUUACUGGAUGUGGUAAAAAAGUUAAAAGCUGCACCAUGCUCUUCACAGCAUGCCUCUCCUGCACAUGCGUCCACUUCAUCUUCUGCUGCUUGUUCACCAGCUCAUUCCGAAGACACAAGUGGCGAGGACAUGGUAACUUUGUGGCCAGGGGUGGCCAUAACAGUUUGGCAAAAGAGAUUACUAAAUGCCAAAAAAACAAAUGUUAAAGAAUACACAAACACCCUGCUGCGGAUGAUUCACAC